This 109-nucleotide ribosomal RNA is filed under the name Bacteroidota bacterium. The record is from RNAcentral. Lineage: Bacteria; Pseudomonadati; Bacteroidota.
UAAGGUGACUUUAGCGACGGGGUUCCACCUCUACCCAUUCCGAACAGAGAAGUUAAGCCCGUCAGCGCCGAUGGUACUGCAUUUGUGGGAGAGUAGGUUGUCGCCGACU